This 331-nucleotide ribosomal RNA is filed under the name Branchiodrilus sp. M1. Its description in RNAcentral is "partial large subunit ribosomal RNA". It matches the Rfam family "Bacterial large subunit ribosomal RNA", at positions 1956 to 2526 of the family's 2925-position model. The record is from RNAcentral. Lineage: Eukaryota; Metazoa; Annelida; Clitellata; Tubificida; Naididae.
GUAGCAUAAUCACUUGCCCAUUAAUUGUGGGCUAGAAUGAAUGGAAAAACGAAGUAAUAGCUGUCUCUAGUAGUACCAUAAAAAAUAAUCUUCCAGUGAAGAAGCUGAAAUAAAAUCACAGGACAAGAAGACCCUAUAGAGCUUUAUUUUUAAUACAUAUAAUAAAUGUAAAAAAAUUCAGUUGGGGCGACUAAGGAAAAAUCAUCCUAAACAUAAAAGACUUACAAGUCAAUUAAAAGAUCCUAAAUAAUAGAUCAAAGAAAUAAGCUACCUUAGGGAUAACAGGCUAAUCCUCCUGGAAAGUCCAAAUUUAUAGGAGGGGUUGGCACCU